GGAGCGCUUAGAAGUGAGAAUGCCGGUGUGAGUAGCGAAAGACGGGUGAGAAUCCCGUCCACCGAUUGACUAAGGUUUCCAGAGGAAGGCUCGUCCGCUCUGGGUUAGUCGGGUCCUAAGCUGAGGCCGACAGGCGUAGGCGAUGGAUAACAGGUUGAUAUUCCUGUACCACCUAUAAUCGUUUUAAUCGAUGGGGGGACGCAGUAGGAUAGGCGAAGCGUGCGAUUGGAUUGCACGUCUAAGCAGUAAGGCUGAGUAUUAGGCAAAUCCGGUACUCGUUAAGGCUGAGCUGUGAUGGGGAGAAGACAUUGAGUCUUCGAGUCGUUGAUUUCACACUGCCGAGAAAAGCCUCUAGAUAGAAAAUAGGUGCCCGUACCGCAAACCGACACAGGUAGUCAAGAUGAGAAUUCUAAGGUGAGCGAGCGAACUCUCGUUAAGGAACUCGGCAAAAUGACCCCGUAACUUCGGGAGAAGGGGUGCUCUUUAGGGUUAACGCCCAGAAGAGCCGCAGUGAAUAGGCCCAAGCGACUGUUUAUCAAAAACACAGGUCUCUGCUAAACCGUAAGGUGAUGUAUAGGGGCUGACGCCUGCCCGGUGCUGGAAGGUUAAGAGGAGUGGUUAGCUUCUGCGAAGCUACGAAUCGAAGCCCCAGUAAACGGCGGCCGUAACUAUAACGGUCCUAAGGUAGCGAAAUUCCUUGUCGGGUAAGUUCCGACCCGCACGAAAGGCGUAACGAUUUGGGCACUGUCUCAACGAGAGACUCGGUGAAAUCAUAGUACCUGUGAAGAUGCAGGUUACCCGCGACAGGACGGAAAGACCCCGUGGAGCUUUACUGUAGCCUGAUAUUGAAAUUCGGCACAGCUUGUACAGGAUAGGUAGGAGCCUUUGAAACGUGAGCGCUAGCUUACGUGGAGGCGCUGGUGGGAUACUACCCUAGCUGUGUUGGCUUUCUAACCCGCACCACUUAUCGUGGUGGGAGACAGUGUCAGGCGGGCAGUUUGACUGGGGCGGUCGCCUCCUAAAAGGUAACGGAGGCGCUCAAAGGUUCCCUCAGAAUGGUUGGAAAUCAUUCAUAGAGUGUAAAGGCAUAAGGGAGCUUGACUGCGAGACCUACAAGUCGAGCAGGGUCGAAAGACGGACUUAGUGAUCCGGUGGUUCCGCAUGGAAGGGCCAUCGCUCAACGGAUAAAAGCUACCCCGGGGAUAACAGGCUUAUCUCCCCCAAGAGUUCACAUCGACGGGGAGGUUUGGCACCUCGAUGUCGGCUCAUCGCAUCCUGGGGCUGUAGUCGGUCCCAAGGGUUGGGCUGUUCGCCCAUUAAAGCGGUACGCGAGCUGGGUUCAGAACGUCGUGAGACAGUUCGGUCCCUAUCCGUCGUGGGCGUAGGAAAUUUGAGAGGAGCUGUCCUUAGUACGAGAGGACCGGGAUGGACAUACCUCUGGUGUACCAGUUGUCGUGCCAACGGCAUAGCUGGGUAGCUAUGUGUGGACGGGAUAAGUGCUGAAAGCAUCUAAGCAUGAAGCCCCCCUCAAGAUGAGAUUUCCCAACUUCGGUUAUAAGAUCCCUCAAAGAUGAUGAGGUUAAUAGGUUCGAGGUGGAAGCAUGGUGACAUGUGGAGCUGACGAAUACUAAUCGAUCGAAGACUUAAUCAA
RNAcentral lists this ribosomal RNA (1651 nucleotides) under Staphylococcus aureus H41079. RNAcentral's name for it is "bacterial LSU rRNA". It matches the Rfam family "Bacterial large subunit ribosomal RNA", at positions 1275 to 2925 of the family's 2925-position model. Lineage: Bacteria; Bacillati; Bacillota; Bacilli; Caryophanales; Staphylococcaceae. The record is from RNAcentral.